GAUGAACGCUGGCGGUAUGCUUAACACAUGCAAGUCGAACGAAGAUUUUUAAUCUUAGUGGCGGACGGGUGAGUAACACGUGAGAAUCUGCCCUUAGGAAGAGGAUAACAGCUGGAAACGGUUGCUAACACUCUAUACGCCGAAAGGUAAAAGGAAAUAUCCACCUUAGGAAGAGCUCGCGUCUGAGUAGCUUGUUGGUGAGGUAAUGGCUCACCAAGGCGACGAUCAGUAGCUGGUUUGAGAGGACGACCAGCCACACUGGGACUGAGACACGGCCCAGACUCCUACGGGAGGCAGCAGUGGGGAAUUUUCCGCAAUGGGCGAAAGCCUGACGGAGCAAUACCGCGUGAGGGAUGAAAGCCUGUGGGUUGUAAACUCCUUUUAAAUAGGAAGAUUAUGACGGUACUAUUUGAAUAAGCAUCGGCUAACUACGUGCCAGCCGCCGCCGUAA
This 451-nucleotide ribosomal RNA is filed under the name uncultured bacterium. RNAcentral's name for it is "partial 16S ribosomal RNA". It matches the Rfam family "Bacterial small subunit ribosomal RNA", at positions 28 to 523 of the family's 1533-position model. The record is from RNAcentral.